CACCCACGCGGAGAUGUGUGAGGAAGAAGAAGAGAGGAGAAGAAGUUGGCUCGCGGCGCGCUCCGGCACUCAACAUUAAAAAACUGUGUUUCAUUUGAGGAAGAAGCAAGCAAAGGACAGACUACCAGAGGAAGCUUUUCCCGGGGAAUGCAGAGGAAUAUCCGCCGGCAGAGACACCAGCAACCCCGGCUCCAUCCCCACCCACCCGCCCACUUACCCCUCCUUGCGUCCUUCUGUUAAAGUUGAAUAAAACAAAGACGUUUAAAAGCCGGUUGGUUUUGUGAUUGAUGCCGAGGAACUAGAGCUCGCGACCUGUGGACGGCGGCGCGCGCGCGGAGGACUGAAGUCUGUGUGUCUGUCGGUCUGUCUGAAGUCUGUCGGCGCCUUUGAUCCUGGAGCAGAGGAGCGGCGCGAGCCACAAGCGGCGACGAGAAGACGAGCGUCCAGGUGAAGGAGACGACACAGCCCGGCUCAGGAUGAACAACAGCAAACCCGAGAAAGAAAACGAGCAGAGUGAAUUCACGAAUCACGAAGAGGAGGUCCGAACACUAUUUGUCAGUGGGUUACCACUGGAUAUCAAACCUCGGGAGCUCUACCUCCUCUUCAGACCAUUUAAGGGAUACGAAGGCUCCUUGAUAAAACUCACUUCAAAACAGCCGGUGGGGUUUGUCAGCUUUGACAGUCGAUCAGAGGCAGAGGCUGCUAAGAAUGCCUUGAACGGGGUCCGUUUUGAUCCAGAGAUUCCCCAAACUCUGCGUCUGGAGUUUGCUAAAGCCAACACCAAGAUGGCCAAGAACAAGCUGGUUGGCACCCCGAACCCCCCGCCCUCCCAGCAGAGCCCCGGCCCGCAGUUCAUCAGCAGAGACCCAUAUGAGCUCACAGUGCCUGCUCUAUAUCCCAGCAGCCCAGACGUGUGGGCGUCAUACCCCCUGUACCCGGCGGAGCUGUCGCCGGCCCUUCCACCCGCUUUCACCUACCCCUCCUCGCUCCACGCUCAGAUUCGUUGGCUCCCGCCUGCAGAUGGAACUCCUCAGGGAUGGAAGUCCAGGCAGUUCUGCUGAAGUAUGUGUUCCUGAUGUGUGAUGGUGGCCGUGGCCGGCUGUGACGGCGUUGCUGAUUUCCUUGUGUCCUGCCGGAAACGACGAGGAAGGACCCGACUCCAGCUCUCGGGGCAGCGCAGCGUCGGCAGCAGCAGCCGCAUGGGCCUCAGGACAUACUAGACCCCCAGCCUCCAUCACACAUCAAGUCCCCCCCCCCCUCCCCGCCCUCUUUCAUCCACCCCAAAGUCCCUGCAACUCUUUUUUUUUUUUAUACUGUUACUUACUCUAGAUUUAUGAGGCAGCGCUUUGGCUACACCUCCUCUGACAUAUACAUGGAAAAGGAGCACUCGUCCUUUUUGUUUAUUGAUCGACUGCAUCGCCUUUUCCAACGUUUGCCGAUGUCUUGCUUUACAACCUGCAAAUGCAAGUGUCAGGACGGACAACCAAAGGAGUGCCAACACGCUCAUAUGCAGCCCCUUUGCAGGGCCAGAUUGGAUGGAAGUGUGGCUAAAGUGCUACUGUUUAAUCUUAUUAUACAACUAGAACUAUUACUAUUCUGUAUAUCAUUCAUAUUAAGGUUACAAUUAAUGAAUACAUGUUAAAGCAUGACUUUUCAAAAAAAAAAGAGGAAAAAAACAAUGCUGUACAUUUUUAGAUAUUUUAAAGAAACACAAAAAGGUAUUUUUGUAAUCAAGACAAUGUUGAAAUGUUUUGAUUGGUUUGUUUUGCUGAGGUGUGUGAACUUUCAUACCUCCUUUUUUUUUUUGUUUUUGCCCUUUAUGUUUUGUGCCAUUAUAAAAUGAUGAGUCACCCUGCCAUACCAAAGCAGCCCUGUCACUUUGCGUCAUGUCUUUUUCUACACAAGUGUGUGAAUUUUUAGAUUGCUUAUAUGUGAUUUAUUUUAUUUGAUUUUUUUCUAGAGUUUCUUUACCCGAAAAAGUGAGCACAGGCGUCCUUUUGUCUGGUCAGCUGUGCAGCAAUGUCGACAUUGAAAUACAACCCGAUCCGGCUCAUUAUUUUGCAGUUUCUGGUAAUCAGACGUGAUGAGAGGCAUUGAUGGAAUAAGCCAUCGCCGGUGAAGAUAGUGACCCCACAGAUGGCAAUACGUGGCAAACUGAGCCCUGCUAUUAUUAGGAAUUUGCUCCUUCGUUGUGUAGCAGGAGGACAGCAACACAGAAUAGAGAAACAAAAGACCAAAGGCAUUUUUUUUUAAACACUGGAGAGCUGUCUAGGCUUGUGCUAUUAUUCCAUUUCUGACUGCUUUGUAGUCCUCAGUCUUAUUUCUUCUGAAGUAUGACAUUAUUUUUGCUGCAUGUCUCUUUUGGUGUCACUCCAAAGAGUCGCUCCGCAUCUGAAAGAAUUUUCACUUUAAACAAUUUGUCUUUUUUUUUUUUGUCUAUUUUAGGAAACCAAUGUUAUUGAACCUGUUUUUAUGAAGUUUAAAUUUACAUAGUAAUGAUUUAGAUGGGGGGAAAAUUGUCUUUUGUAAUCUGGUGUCUGCAAUAAUGUCUGUGUUGUAUGACAUAUCAUGGAGUGAUCAUAUUUCUGUGACAUUUUUGAUGCCAAAAUUAUCCUCAUUGUCACAUUUGUACAGAAACAAACUGAUUCUUGUACGUCUCCAAUAAAGUCACAUUUCACUGUGAUGUGACAAUCAAAAACUCAAAUGCUGUAAGAAAAAAACAAUAUUCCCUGUAAUGUUGAGUUCAGAUGUGUAAACUCAUCCUGGGCUGGUUGGAUCAUAGACAAUAGUCAGUGUUUGUAAUGAAUAAUAAUAUGCAUAAUAUACAGGUAGAUAAUAACGCCUGAUUUUCUGAAAACAGUUUUUGAUUUUCAGACCUUUUUAAGCCAGCUAUGGCGCCAAAUUUAUUAGAACAAGUAUUUAUAUAAAAGGUGUGCGUGUGUGUGUGUGUGUGUUUUUAAGGGUAUUUUCUUUUUUAAUUUCAUAGAAGAUGCCCACCGUAUAAUUCAUUGUAAGUAUUAUUGUAAGUUUAAUUGUGUAUUCAUUUGAUCAUUUUUGUAGAGCUUUUUUUGGUUUGUAGCUGUCCGGUAGGAACAGUCUGUAUGUGUCAUGUGAAUACUGUUAUACCUACAUGAUUCACUGUGAAAUCCAGAGAAGAAAAUGCUCCUUGAACAAAUGGAUCUCUUCAUGUUUUCGCCAGCAGUAUGGUACAGAAGUUCCUGGAAAUUAAUACGAAGACCGCGCCUUUUGUCAAUGACAGAUAUUCCUUUACUAGGUUCAGUAUACUGUGUGUAGCUGUGUGUUGUGCAUGUUCGCAGCAUGUGUGUGUGUGUUCUUUUCCUUUUCCCUUAAUGCAUACAGUAGUGUUGAUAUUUAUGUACUUCGGCCACUGUAAGGAGAAACUGUAUUUCGGUGAAUUGCAGAGGUUUGUUGGUUUAAAACAAAAAGAAGCCGAUCAAAUCAAGGCGUUUUUAUGAAAAUGUUAAAUGAAGACAUUUCAGGCCUUCUGUUAUUAAAAAUUGACAUUGUCUUUGCUGUCAUGAUGCCA
RNA transcript from Cololabis saira (Pacific saury), 3547 nucleotides. It is a transcript of the gene named RNA-binding protein with multiple splicing-like, with no coding region annotated. The transcript is spliced from 9 exons. The record is from RefSeq and is a predicted model, not a curated record. Lineage: Eukaryota; Metazoa; Chordata; Actinopteri; Beloniformes; Belonidae.